Molecule: long non-coding RNA, 1046 nt
Filed under: Heterocephalus glaber (naked mole-rat)
Lineage: Eukaryota; Metazoa; Chordata; Mammalia; Rodentia; Bathyergidae
Description: lncRNA (ENSHGLG00000044065.1)
Source: RNAcentral
CAUCCGAUGCAUCCAGUGGAAAGACAGGCUUGUGAGAAUCCCACAGUGUGUCCUCACCCACCUUAGCCACCAGACAUAGCACCAUGUAACUCUGGCUCUUCCCCACAGUCAAAGUGACCAGGAAAGGUCAACGUUUUCUGUUAAUUCAGGACAUCGAGGCAGCCAGGACAGCGCAACUACAGACCCUCAGGAAAGAGGACUCCAGAGCUGCUGCAUGAAGCAGCCAGGAUGACAGGAUGAGUGUGCUCAAAGUGAGGGGAGGAUUUUGAAGCAGAUGAAUGGGAAUGUGUUUUUUACUGUAACAAAUUUUUAAAAAUUAAAUAUUCACUAUAUUUCUUGAUCACACCUCGUAGAUACGAAAAAGUUUUUCCCUUGUGACUAGAUGAGUCAUUUAAAUAAGAUUCUUAGAAAAUUAUAGCAUAGAAAUAGUUCCUUUAUCACUGCCUGCCAAUUACUCAUUGCAUUUUAACUAGAAAGCAGAAGCACAAAACCUUAGCAACUUUACAAUUUGAACUCUCAGAUUUUUGGUGAAAAUGCCAUACAAAAGUUUGUUUUUCCAACUAAAAAAACAGAAGCGUAAUUUGUCUUUUAAAAAAAUUUAUGGCUAACAAUGUGUUUUACAGUAAGCUGCAUAACAGAGUAGUAGCAUUAGUGGUCCCCCGAACUUUGUUAAAUUACUGUGUUUAUGAUACCUGAAAUCACAUAGGGCUCCCUCUGGCUCAGAAAGAACACGACAUCUGAGUAAGCAAACUUCACAAACACUGCUUUCGUCACCUCACAGCACCAAUGAGCAGAUGCCCGGCUCACUUUGGGCUUCCAGUAUGCGGCUCCUCUAGGUUAAAGCUACACAGGCCCAGCAGGGCUCAUUCUUGGACUCCAGUAAUGUUUAGAACACCAAAGAUUCUGGCAGUGAUGAAGAGAGACCCAGUGUCCUCUGGGACACAGGAAGUGAAGCAGGAGCCUCAGCCGGAGCCACCGUACCCUGCUACAAAUGAACCCAUGAGAAUUACAGAUGCCAAAUAUCACAAGGAUACAGUAUACACAGU